Molecule: ribosomal RNA, 404 nt
Filed under: uncultured bacterium
Lineage: Bacteria
Description: bacterial SSU rRNA
Rfam family: Bacterial small subunit ribosomal RNA
Source: RNAcentral
UGGGGAAUCUCGCGCAAUGGGCGAAAGCCUGACGCAGCAACGCCGCGUGGGGGAUGAAGGCUUUCGGGUUGUAAACCCCUUUCAGCAGGGACGAAUCAAGACGGUACCUGCAGAAGAAGCCCCGGCUAACUACGUGCCAGCAGCCGCGGUAACACGUAGGGGGCAAGCGUUGUCCGGAUUUAUUGGGCGUAAAGAGCUCGUAGGCGGCUGAGUAAGUCGGGUGUCAAAUCUUCAGGCUCAACCUGGAGCCCCACCCGAUACUGCUCUGGCUAGAGUCCGGUAGGGGAGCGUGGAAUUCCUGGUGUAGCGGUGAAAUGCGCAGAUAUCAGGAGGAACACCAGCGGCGAAGGCGGCGCUCUGGGCCGGAACUGACGCUGAGGAGCGAAAGCGUGGGUAGCAAACAG